UCUCAUAAUACCAUCCUCUACUUCAUACUAAGUUAAUUUAAAGGCGGAAAACCCUUUUAAUAAACAUAUGUCAAGGGGAGAUUUCUCCAUCUAUAAAAAUCUCCCAUUUUUUAAUGUUUCAUAUGGGGCCCAGCCUUUUGACUUAAAAGGAAUUUAAUUCAAACUAAUCCAAGCCCCAUUUUAUAUCCAUCAGUCGGAUCUCAAGCCAAACCAGGGAUGGCUAUAAAAAUGUAUCUUCACAAAUGCCUAAUAAAUGCAUCCAGCUUCUGUAAAACCACAACUCCCAGCAUCCUCAGCUGGAAGUUUCAGUUUUGCAGCAGCCUCUGCCUUUCGCUGUUGACAUAUUAAUCCCUUAUGUUGGAUUUUUUCCCUUCUUCUUUGUGAUGAUGACAAUCACUAAAGCGCCGGAGUGUCUUCAGAACACAUCACUAGAAAAAAUAUCCAGCAAAUGGUGAUGAAUGAGACACAAUCCGCCGAGGAGUCAGAGCUGGGCCCGAGCUGAAUUGACAAGCUUGGUGUCGUCCGGGAGAGUAUGGUAAUCGCAGGGAGGCAGCUGUCGAGGGCCCAAGUGCUUUCAGGUGAACGUCACCGGAGGUUUGGUCGCCUGCCACAUGGAAGAUGGCACUUGCACUGGUGGAUGACGGCACAUCUGAAUAGUGAGACUUCUAAGGAAAGGACAUUGAGAAUCUUAUUGCAGUCUAGUGAGAUGUGACAUUGUGACAUCACUCAAAGCCACCUGGAGACAAGCACUAUUUGUUUUUAUGAGCAGAGCUUGUACGAAAAGGCACAUCCAUUGUGCGGCGCUGGAUUUCUCCUCCCUGGCUACUGACAGCAUCACAUCAAACUCUAUGGAGCAGUUGGAAUUCUUCUGGCACAGUUGUUCCCUGACGAUAUCCGUAUCCUCCCGCAUGGUGAGCAGAGGGGAGCUGCAUGGCAUUCAUCUUGUACCAGACGGACUCACAAAUAACCCACCACUCUCCGAAUCACUCUUGAAGCCUUCAGGGUAUCUCUUGUAUGUGCAGUGCCGCCCCCCAACUUGCACACAGAGCCGGCUACACAGAGAGGAGCGGCAAGAACUUCAGUAAACAUCGCCGGCUUUGAGUGAAAGAGAAGCCAGUGCCGACUGCUUGGAGCGGACCCUUGUUCCGCAAGACUUUUUACAUUGCUGCACUAGACGCGACCCAGGAGCUUCAUGGGGGCUCCACUUACCCAAGUGACACUAGAUUCUAUUUAUGAAGCAGCACGCUACAGUUGCCCAGGGCGAUAAGUUGGCAGACCCAAUUGGGGACAUUGGCAGCACCAACUCUUCCCAGUUUAGCAGCAGCAGCGGGGUUCAAGGGAACCAGACAGGGGACCCGUACGCUUGCUGGCCAAGAUCGAAAUUGCCAUGAUACACCGCCGCCGUGAUCUUCGCGGCGGCGGUGCUGUAGCGUGCUAGGUACUGUAAGUGGAGGUUGUUCACCAGCUGACUUUUUAUCAGUUCAGUUGGUUUAUGAUAGUUCACUAGCAAUAAAGACUUUUUUUCAAUUA
This is a long non-coding RNA of Xenopus laevis (African clawed frog), 1530 nucleotides long. RefSeq lists it as uncharacterized. NCBI's taxonomy places the organism in Eukaryota, Metazoa, Chordata, Amphibia, Anura, Pipidae. The transcript is spliced from 4 exons. The record is from RefSeq and is a predicted model, not a curated record.